AGAUCUUGGUGGUAGUAGCAAAUACUCAAAUGAGAACUUUGAGGACUGAAGUGGGGAAAGGUUCCGUGUGAACAGCAGUUGGACACGGGUUAGUCGAUCCUAAGCCAUAGGGAAACUCCGUUUUAAAGUGCGCACUUGUGCGUCGCCCGGCGAAAGGGAAGCCGGUUAACAUUCCGGCACCUGGAUGUGGAUUCUCCACGGCAACGUAACUGAAAGCGAAGACGACGGCGGGGGCCCUGGGAAGAGUUCUCUUUUCUUCUUAACGGCCCGUCACCCUGAAAUCGGUUUGUCCGGAGCUAGGGUUUAAUGGCCGGUAGAGUCCCACACCUUUGUGGGAUCCGGUGCGCCCCCGACGUCCCUUGAAAAUUCGCUGGAAGGAAUAGUUUUCACGCCAGGUCGUACUCAUAACCGCAGCAGGUCUCCAAGGUGAAAAGCCUCUAGUUGAUAGAACAAUGUAGAUAAGGGAA
RNAcentral lists this ribosomal RNA (467 nucleotides) under Crustomastix stigmatica. RNAcentral describes it as "partial Eukaryotic large subunit ribosomal RNA". It matches the Rfam family "Eukaryotic large subunit ribosomal RNA", at positions 1446 to 1912 of the family's 3401-position model. The record is from RNAcentral. Lineage: Eukaryota; Viridiplantae; Chlorophyta; Mamiellophyceae; Dolichomastigales; Crustomastigaceae.